UUCCGUAUUUAGAAUUUCACGUCAGUUUUGUUAAAUGCCUUGGGAUUGUAACCCUGGCAACAUCGAAGAGGAGGCACCGAGGGAGAAUGAUUCGGCCAUUUUGGGACUUGGAUUUUCUUCCCCGACCUAGCCGGGCUCGGCUUUAUAUUAAAUAAUUGGGACAACGUUCUCAUCUUUGGUAAGUAAUCUUACAUUCGUUUGUGAAGACCGUGAAAUUCGGAAUCUGUUGUUGGAUUAUGCGAUUAUUGACGUGAACCGUUUAUUUCAGCCUGCCCUCAGGUGUACCUUGAGGUUAACCCGUUUCCCGAAAGGGCGAACCAGGAGCGUCCUGGGCACUUCGGAGUUGAUAUUCGAUCACUCAUAAACCCCGGCAAGACGAUUUUCCUCCGACAGGAGGUGUCUACUAGGGGCGCGGCCUUUGGUAGGCCAGAUUCUGUGCCAGUCGACCUGUGCAGCUGGCCCCGCCAGAGUCGGAGCUAUUGGAACCUCCGGCCAUCUGGUCGAGAGAGAGCCGUCGACUGUCGCUACAGUGCAGCUAAGCCUUUCACUACUUUUUCCUAAACUGCGAUUUUGGACUAUUCACCUUUUAGUAUUAACUAUCCAAUAGCGCAAUCGACCAAGUAUCACCAACAAUAAUUAAAACCCGGUUAGAUAAAUAUAAAUUUAGUUUACUAUCAAUAAGUCGUUAAGUAGUGUUUAAGCUCCAAAGUGUAAACUUAACCAGGCCGGCAAUUAAAUUGUACCUGUCCACUA
Molecule: long non-coding RNA, 753 nt
Organism: Cydia fagiglandana
Lineage: Eukaryota; Metazoa; Arthropoda; Insecta; Lepidoptera; Tortricidae
Exons: 2
Source: RefSeq, a predicted model, not a curated record